AAUAUUAGUCAAUGCUCGCAAGAGUGAACUAGCUAACUGAAAUCAUAAAAUCACUAAUACUGGUAAUAUGAUAACGUAAGGGAAAAAAAAUGAUACCACCUUACUAUUAGUGUUGUCCAAAGCUGGUGCCAGAAGACUCGGUAAGGCCAGAGACGCGAACGUUAAUCGUCCUAACCAGGCGUAAAGGGUAUGUAGGCAGCUUUCAAAGUUUUAAUUAUAUUAGCUCUACUUAGUUUAAAACUAAGAUUAGAAUAAUUUAGAAUGAAUAAAAGCUAGAAUCUUAUAGAGGAUAAACCAAAUAAUACUUAGAGUAAGGAUGAUAUCUUUAGAUACUAAGGGGAAUACUAACGGUGAAAGCUUUUUAUCUAAUAAUGAUUGACGCUGAGAAACGAAGGUGAGAAUAGGAAAUAGGAUUAGAUACCCAGAUACCUCUCACUGUAAACGAUGAAUGGUGGUUGUUAGUAAUUGAUAUACUAGUAGCGAUGUUAACGCGAUAACCAUUCCGCCUUGCGAGUACGGUUGCAAAACUGAAACCAAAAAAAUUAGUCGGUCUCGGAGCAAACGAAGUGAAGCAUGUUAUUUAAUU
RNAcentral lists this ribosomal RNA (586 nucleotides) under Clitopilus sp. TB8024. RNAcentral's name for it is "mitochondrial SSU rRNA". It matches the Rfam family "Bacterial small subunit ribosomal RNA", at positions 360 to 951 of the family's 1533-position model. The record is from RNAcentral. Lineage: Eukaryota; Fungi; Basidiomycota; Agaricomycetes; Agaricales; Entolomataceae.